AAUAAUCGUACCCGCUCAUUGCUUGUGCAGAAUGGCACUUCCGAGAGGAAAAUUAGACAUGCUGUUGACACUACUGUCACCUGAUUACAACCUAUUUGAUUAACUGAAUGCCUAGUUCAAUUCUUGAUAAAAUGUCAUUCUAUCAGAAAUUUGUUGAAAAAAAGGAAGCUUUAGAUGAAGUAUGCGAAAAAUGGGUUCUUCAUCAGCUGUAGAUAUUCCAGUAAUGCAGGAAAUUAUGUUGGAGUUUCGUGCUGGUAAAAUAGUUUUCGAUGGUAAAAAGUUUGUUCCUAAUUCUCAAAAAGGACUUGUUCGCAUUGGAAGGGGUGAUGAGGGUUUGCUUCAUUUCCAGUGGCUUGAUAGGACUUUGAAUGCUGUGGAAUCCUAGUUAUUAUUAUGUUUUUGAGCCUGGGGAUUUUGUUUCUCUCUUCCAACAUUGGUUUUUAUUUCCUUUUCUGUUGUUUGUUUUGUUAAUAUUCUUUUGAGGUGAGAACUUGGUAGCUUUUUCUUGAUGUGUUGAUUGACAGGAUCAGAUUAUUUUUUUCUGAAGAGGCUGUUUUUGAGAAGGUUAAUCAAGCUUUGGGAAGAGUUUACAUCUUGAAAUUCAAUACAGAUGAUGGAAAGUUUUUCAUUUGGAUGCAGGAGCCAAAAGCUAAAGAUGAUUUGUAGCUCUGUCAACUAUUAUAUUAAUCGUCCAUUUGCACUCAUUCAAGAGUGAAGUUUUUCCAUCAGCAACAUCGCUGCUUUAUCUUGUUGCCUGGCAGAGCUCCUUGAUGAAGAAGAGCCUGAUGCUUCUACUCCUCUCCAUCUUUUUGAAAACAUGCUUGAAGAUAAUAUCUCAUCAAGAUAUAUUUAUUAUAACAAAGAAGCAUACUCAAAGAUGAUACUUCAACUCUAAGAGUUGAUAUAGCAAGUAAGAGUAAGGAUAUAGAGCUAAGUAAUUUUUUGUUCUUUGAGACUAAGAGUCAGUGGAGCAGAAUGAGCCUUCCUUCUCUCCUUCUGGUCAGUCAUCUUGGAGAGCCUAUGUUUUUGCCUUGAUAAAGACUCCUAUCUUAUUUAUUCAAGAAAUAUCAAGAAAUUUUCCAAAAUCAUUUCUUGACAAAAACAUCUCACCCACAUUAGCCCAUGUCAAAUCUUUCAUCCCCUUAUGCCCUUGCACAGACUUGCCCUCGGGGUAAAUUCUAAAACUUGGGGCAUCUUUUAUAUGGCAAUUUAGAAUCAUAACUUGUUGUUUUUCCAUGUAUAUACAUGUUUAAUGCUUGUAAUUCAUUGUAAAAUAACUUCAAAAAGGUUAAGGAGCACUUUUAUUACCAAAAACAAAUGGCCCAGUAUAUAUUACGUUGCAAU
This is a long non-coding RNA of Populus nigra (black poplar), 1344 nucleotides long. RefSeq lists it as uncharacterized. The transcript is spliced from 7 exons. The record is from RefSeq and is a predicted model, not a curated record. NCBI's taxonomy places the organism in Eukaryota, Viridiplantae, Streptophyta, Magnoliopsida, Malpighiales, Salicaceae.